Molecule: ribosomal RNA, 325 nt
Filed under: uncultured Pseudomonadota bacterium
Lineage: Bacteria; Pseudomonadati; Pseudomonadota
Description: bacterial SSU rRNA
Rfam family: Bacterial small subunit ribosomal RNA
Source: RNAcentral
AACGAACGCUGGCGGCGUGCUUAACACAUGCAAGUCGAACGCGAAAAUUUUCCUCGGAAAGUGAGUAGAGUGGCGCACGGGUGAGUAACGCGUAAGUUAUCUACCUCGGCAUCUGGAAUAACUCACCGAAAGGUGUGCUAAUACCGGAUACGUUGAGUAAUCAAGAAAGGUGGCCUCUGAAUAUGCUACUGUGCUGAGAUGAGCUUGCGUACCAUUAGCUAGUUGGUAGGGUAAUGGCCUACCAAGGCAACGAUGGUUAGCGGGUCUGAGAGGAUGAUCCGCCACACUGGAACUGAAACACGGACCAGACUCCUACGGGAGGCUG